AGGUGUGAGGGUUAUCUGGCUGAGACUUCCGCCAUCCCACUGAUCACCAGGACUGAGUCUGCUGAUCCAUCCUGCUAGGCCAGUGUCCAGCUUCCUCCUCCACCUGCCCAGGUACAUGCCUCCUGAAGAUGCACCAGCCCUGAGGACGACAACACUCCCUAUCAGGAGAUUGCUCUCCGGUCAGGGUACACGCAGAGCUGCACCCUCCUGUUGCAGAUGCCAAACAAGCUCUCGUUUGUUUGAGACUGGGCCUCUCUACAGAGUCCCUGACCUCCUGGAAUGUGCUAUGUAGACAGGCUCGGGUUAGGCUCUCUUCAUACAAGAAACAUUAGCUGGAGGCUGGAGAACGAGCUCAGCAGCUCCUAGC
This 367-nucleotide small nuclear RNA is filed under the name Meriones unguiculatus (Mongolian gerbil). RNAcentral describes it as "7SK RNA (ENSMUGG00000004193.1)". It matches the Rfam family "7SK RNA". From Rfam's summary of the family: 7SK was discovered as an abundant small nuclear RNA in the mid-70s but a possible function has only recently been suggested. The record is from RNAcentral. Lineage: Eukaryota; Metazoa; Chordata; Mammalia; Rodentia; Muridae.